UUGGAGGGCAAGUCUGGUGCCAGCAGCCGCGGUAAUUCCAGCUCCAAUAGCGUAUAUUAAAGUUGUUGCAGUUAAAAAGCUCGUAGUUGAAUUUCGGGAUCAAUAUGUUGGUCGUGCCUUGGUACGUACUAAUUUAUUGGUUUCUUCCUUCUGACGAACCUUGAUGUCAUUAAUUUGGUGUUUUGGGGAAUCAGGACUGUUACUUUGAAAAAAUUAGAGUGUUUAAAGCAGGCUCACGCUUGAAUACAUUAGCAUGGAAUAAUGAAAUAGGACGUUUGAUUCUAUUUUGUUGGUUUCUAGGAUCGACGUAAUGAUUAAUAGGGAUAGUUGGGGGCAUUAGUAUUCAAUUGUCAGAGGUGAAAUUCUUGGAUUUAUUGAAGACUAACUACUGCGAAAGCAUUUGCCAAGGAUGUUUUCAUUAAUCAAGAACGAAAGUUAGGGGAUCGAAGACGAUCAGAUACCGUCGUAGUCUUAACCAUAAACUAUGCCGACUAGGGAUCGGAUGAUGUUAAUUUUUUAAUGACUCAUUCGGCGCCUUACGGGAAAC
RNAcentral lists this ribosomal RNA (547 nucleotides) under uncultured Glomeromycotina. Its description in RNAcentral is "SSU rRNA". It matches the Rfam family "Eukaryotic small subunit ribosomal RNA", at positions 548 to 1098 of the family's 1831-position model. Lineage: Eukaryota; Fungi; Glomeromycota. The record is from RNAcentral.